UCCUUCUCAGGGUCGCACAUGGAGAGUUUCCAGUAUUCUACCAGUCUUGGCUACAGGAGGGAGAGUCAGGCAGGGGCCUAUCUAUUCCAUUCCUAGCUUGGGCAGUGGCCGGUGAGUGGAAGGUAAUCUGCUACAAGU
Molecule: non-coding RNA, 138 nt
Organism: Ornithorhynchus anatinus (platypus)
Lineage: Eukaryota; Metazoa; Chordata; Mammalia; Monotremata; Ornithorhynchidae
Source: Rfam